ACGAUCGUUGUUUCGAUUUCGAAUUGGGUUUCUGGAAUCAAAUCCACAAAUUUUAGGGUUUCUACCGAUAAUAAACAUCAAAUUUCUCCCAUUUCAUCUGUGUUGUUAUGGAUUCAGAUCGGAUUUAUUUGGUUUUCUUUGUGUAUCAGAUCUUAAUUUUAAUUUUGACUGUGGAAACCCCUAAUUUUUGUAAAAUGGUGAUUUAUUAGCGAGUAUGUGAAUCGCCAUUUGAUUUUCUUUCGUUGUUCUUGCGUGUUUGAUUUCUAGUAAUCCUUUGGUUCCUACUAUCAACUAACCAUUUACUUUCUAAAUGCUAAUCUCUGCUAGAGAGUUUGUCUUUCAUAUUUAGGUAGCCUUUAGUUUUUCUUUUAGGUUGUGGCAUAAUUAGCUUUGGGUUUUAAUUUUGAUGAUCAAUUACAUUGCAAUGUUGUACAUAGUUUCUUGUCAAUCUCUUUGUAUCUGUUAUUCAUUGUAUAGAAACAAGCCACAAGAUAAGAUGAAAGACAUGUUCGGAUUUUGAGCUGUGUGUAACGUCUAGGGGCGAGUGGCUUCGCCAAAGUAUGAGAAUCUUUGAAGUUUAAGAUACUGAAACUGUGAACUUCAUGUUAGCUUUAGAAGGUUUUAAUUGGUAAAGCAAAGAUUUUUGCUUUUCUUGAUUGGUGUAAUGUCUUUGUUGAAUGGAAUUAUGAGAAUGUGUAAUGUAUAUUGUUGAUAGGCCUCAGCGAAGCGGUUCAGAGUCACGGGUAGGGGAAGAUUGUGAGGAGGAGAUCCGGAAAGCAGCAUUUGUUAGCUAAGAAGAACAACAAGAGGAAAUUGCGUUUAUCGAAAAUGACCGAAGUGAACCGGAGCUCUAUGACAAUGUGAUCGGAGCUCUACCAUACUUGAAAGUCAAUCGAAAGGCGAUUUAAGCAGAGUAGGCUUGAUCCUUUUCUUACAUGCAAUUCUCAUUUUGUAAUCUAAAUUUGUGGUAAUAUCCUUUUGUAUUGUGAUAUAAUUUGGUCAAUGAGUUGAUUUUGUUUCAUAUUUGUGUCUUCUUUUUCUCGUCUCGCAUGACAAAAACUAUUCUAGGUGUAACAUAUACAUCAUCAA
Long non-coding RNA from Arabidopsis lyrata subsp. lyrata, 1089 nucleotides. RefSeq lists it as uncharacterized. Lineage: Eukaryota; Viridiplantae; Streptophyta; Magnoliopsida; Brassicales; Brassicaceae. The transcript is spliced from 2 exons. The record is from RefSeq and is a predicted model, not a curated record.